GAUGAACGCUGGCGGCGUGGAUAAGGCAUGCAAGUCAAACGAUAUCAUGCAGCUUGCUGGAUGAGAAAGUGGCGCACGGGUGCGUAACGCGUACGCAACCUACCUUUAUCAGGGGGAUAGCCCGGAGAAAUCCGGAUUAAUACCGCAUAAAAUCACAGGAUGGCAUUAUCCAAUGAUCAAACAUUUAUGGGAUAAAGAUGGGCAUGCGUGUCAUUAGCUAGUUGGCGGGGUAACGGCCCACCAAGGCGACGAUGACUAGGGGAUCGGAGAGGAUGGCCCCCCACACUGGUACUGAGACACGGACCAGACUCCUACGGGAGGCAGCAGUAAGGAAUAUUGGUCAAUGGGCGGAAGCCUGAACCAGCCAUGCCGCGUGCAGGAAGACUGCCCUAUGGGUUGUAAACUGCUUUUAUCCGGGAAUAAACCUGCUUACGUGUAAGUAGCUGAAUGUACCGGAAGAAUAAGGAUCGGCUAACUCCGUGCCAGCCGCCGCCGUAA
Molecule: ribosomal RNA, 498 nt
Filed under: uncultured bacterium
Lineage: Bacteria
Description: partial 16S ribosomal RNA
Rfam family: Bacterial small subunit ribosomal RNA
Source: RNAcentral